AACCCGAAAACAAUGGCAAAGAAAUAUGCACUGAGUCAUAUAUUCUACAAAAUAGACUGUACUCUCCUCUCCCUGAAAUCACGACACUUUAAUUCUUGGAUUUUUCCACAUUUUCGUAGCUAAGGCUCCUGUUUGCUUUCUUUGAAUCUCUAUCAGUUCUCGCAGCUCUGCCCAGGGGGAAAGCCCUGCCACUGUAGCCCUUGCACUGUUAAGAGGAGCCAAAGCAAAUUGUCCUGAAGAAGGAUGCCUCUGCAGUUCACUGUGCUCAGUUUUAUCAUCGCUGAUGCUUAUAGUAACCCAGGUGCCAUGGAAACACCACAGAAAAUGCCACAGAGUUCACCGGUCCUCAGACAGAUCCCGAGUUUUGCGUAGAAGCUCCGCGUGAAGCAUGUUUGACUUUGAGCGCUGCUCUUGCAGACCCGAGCUGUGAAGAACAGGUUCUGCGCACUUGGUUCUCUCCCAUAAUUCCUCACCCCA
Long non-coding RNA from Meriones unguiculatus (Mongolian gerbil), 477 nucleotides. RefSeq lists it as uncharacterized. The transcript has 4 exons. NCBI's taxonomy places the organism in Eukaryota, Metazoa, Chordata, Mammalia, Rodentia, Muridae. The record is from RefSeq and is a predicted model, not a curated record.